RNAcentral lists this transfer RNA (75 nucleotides) under Candidatus Woesearchaeota archaeon. RNAcentral describes it as "tRNA-Asp". It matches the Rfam family "tRNA". From Rfam's summary of the family: Transfer RNA (tRNA) molecules are approximately 80 nucleotides in length. Their secondary structure includes four short double-helical elements and three loops (D, anti-codon, and T loops). Further hydrogen bonds mediate the characteristic L-shaped molecular structure. tRNAs have two regions of fundamental functional importance: the anti-codon, which is responsible for specific mRNA codon recognition, and the 3' end, to which the tRNAs corresponding amino acid is attached (by aminoacyl-tRNA synthetases). tRNAs cope with the degeneracy of the genetic code in two manners: having more than one tRNA (with a specific anti-codon) for a particular amino acid; and 'wobble' base-pairing, i.e. permitting non-standard base-pairing at the 3rd anti-codon position. Lineage: Archaea; Nanobdellati; Candidatus Woesearchaeota. The record is from RNAcentral.
GCCCUGGUAGUGUAGUGGUUAGCACAGAGCCCUGUCGAGGCUCUAACUCGAGUUCAAAUCUCGGCCAGGGCGCCA